GCCCCAGUGGCUCAACCUGGUGGAGCAUGUCCUUGGUAAGGACAAGGUUGUGGGUUCAAAUCCCAUCUGGGGCU
This 74-nucleotide transfer RNA is filed under the name Candidatus Woesearchaeota archaeon. RNAcentral describes it as "tRNA-Thr". It matches the Rfam family "tRNA". Rfam says of the family: Transfer RNA (tRNA) molecules are approximately 80 nucleotides in length. Their secondary structure includes four short double-helical elements and three loops (D, anti-codon, and T loops). The record is from RNAcentral. Lineage: Archaea; Nanobdellati; Candidatus Woesearchaeota.